AGUGAACGCUGGCGGUAGGCCUAACACAUGCAAGUCGAACGGCAGGACAGUAAGAGUUUGCUCUUACGGGUGGCGAGUGGCGGACGGGUGAGGAAUACAUCGGAAUCUACUUUUUCGUGGGGGAUAACGUAGGGAAACUUACGCUAAUACCGCAUACGACCUACGGGUGAAAGCAGGGGAUCUUCGCACCUUGCGCGAUUGAAUGCGCCGAUGUCGGAUUAGCUAGUUGGCGGGGUAAAGGCCCACCAAGGCGACGAUCCGUAGCUGGUCUGAGAGGAUGAUCAGCCACACUGGAACUGAGACACGGUCCAGACUCCUACGGGAGGCAGCAGUGGGGAAUAUUGGACAAUGGGCGCAAGCCUGAUCCAGCCAUACCGCGUGUGUGAAGAAGGCCUUCGGGUUGUAAAGCCCUUUUGUUGGGAAAGAACAGCAGUAGGUUAAUACCCCGCUGUUCUGACGGUACCCAAAGAAUAAGCACCGGCUAACUUCGUG
Molecule: ribosomal RNA, 492 nt
Filed under: uncultured bacterium
Lineage: Bacteria
Description: partial 16S ribosomal RNA
Rfam family: Bacterial small subunit ribosomal RNA
Source: RNAcentral